RNAcentral lists this ribosomal RNA (858 nucleotides) under Exanthemachrysis gayraliae. RNAcentral's name for it is "partial Bacterial large subunit ribosomal RNA". It matches the Rfam family "Bacterial large subunit ribosomal RNA", at positions 489 to 1343 of the family's 2925-position model. Lineage: Eukaryota; Haptophyta; Pavlovophyceae; Pavlovales; Pavlovaceae. The record is from RNAcentral.
AGUGAACUAGUACCGUGAGGGAAAGGUGAAAAGUACCCUGAAUAAGGGGGUGAAAUAGUACCUGAAACCGUGCGCUUACAAGCGGUCGGAGCAACUUCGUGUUGUGACGGCGUGCCUUUUGCAUAAUGAGCCUACGAGUUACUGUUGUUGGCAAGGUUAAAUGAUUAAGUCAUGCAGCCGGAGCGAAAGCGAGUCUUAACAGGGCGCUUAGUCAGCAGUAGUAGACGCGAAACUUUGUGAUCUACCCAUGAGCAGGGUGAAGUGUAGGUAACACUACAUGGAGGCCCGAACCAGUAAACGUUGAAAAGUUUUUGGAUGACUUGUGGGUAGGGGUGAAAGGCCAAUCAAACUCGGAAAUAGCUCGUACUCUCCGAAAUGUAUUUAGGUACAGCCUUGAGUUAAAGUGAUAUAGAGGUAGAGCUACUGAUAGGGCUAGGGGGCUUCACCGCCUACCAAACCCUGACAAACUCCGAAUGCUAUAUCAUGUUUCUCAGGAGUGAGGGCAUGGGUGCUAAGGUCCAUGUCCGAGAGGGAAACAACCCAGAUCAUCAGCUAAGGUCCCUAAAUGUAUGUUAAGUUGUUCAAACGUGGUCCGAUUGCUUAGACAGCUAGGAUGUUGGCUUGGAAGCAGCCAUUCAUUUAAAGAGUGCGUAACAGCUCACUGGUCGAGCGACAGGGCAUCGAUAAUAAUCGGGCAUCAAGUAUAGUACCGAAGCUUAGGGUCCCGACGUAAGUUGGGACGGUAGGGGAGCAUUCUCUUUGCAGAGAAGGUGUGCUGUGAGGCAUGCUGGAGCGUAGAGAAGCGCAAAUGUAGGCAUAAGUAACGAUAAAGCGGGCGAGAAACCCGCUCACCGAAAG